GACGAACGCUGGCGGCGUGCUUAACACAUGCAAGUCGAACGGAAAGGCCCUGCUUUUGUGGGGUGCUCGAGUGGCGAACGGGUGAGUAACACGUGAGUAACCUGCCCUUGACUUUGGGAUAACUUCAGGAAGCUGGGGCUAAUACCGGAUAGGAGCUCCUGCUGCAUGGUGGGGGUUGGAAAGUUUCGGCGGUUGGGGAUGGACUCGCGGCUCAUCAGCUUGUUGGUGGGGUAGUGGCUUACCAAGGCUUUGACGGGUAGCCGGCCUGAGAGGGUGACCGGCCACAUUGGGACUGAGAUACGGCCCAGACUCCUACGGGAGGCAGCAGUGGGGAAUAUUGCACAAUGGGCGGAAGCCUGAUGCAGCAACGCCGCGUGCGGGAUGACGGCCUUCGGGUUGUAAACCGCUUUCGCCUGUGACGAAGCGUGAGUGACGGUAAUGGGUAAAGAAGCACCGGCUAACUACGUG
This 468-nucleotide ribosomal RNA is filed under the name uncultured bacterium. RNAcentral's name for it is "partial 16S ribosomal RNA". It matches the Rfam family "Bacterial small subunit ribosomal RNA", at positions 28 to 507 of the family's 1533-position model. The record is from RNAcentral.